This is a long non-coding RNA of Homo sapiens (human), 1814 nucleotides long. Ensembl annotates it as long intergenic non-protein coding RNA 1013. The record is from Ensembl. Lineage: Eukaryota; Metazoa; Chordata; Mammalia; Primates; Hominidae.
ACAUUUAAGAAAAUCAGAAUUUCAGUAGACUCCUCGUGCAGUCUGAGGAGGCAGUUUCCUAUCUGGUUUGACUUAAGGGGCUGCAGAAGACAUUCUUAUCCCACAUAUUUCUUCUGCUGAUCAGUCAGCAACUGAAAUUCCAACUAAUGGAUUCCAUUCUUCCAGUUAAGACAUCAUCUCCAGAAAACUGUGCUAGUUGGCAUCCAGCAGUGCCCAAGUAUUAUUUAACCCACUAGAACCUGUGACUGCAUCAGCUUUAUAUCCUGGACCUCAGCCUGGAACAAAGGAGAGCUACACUUGGAUACUAAACACAAGUGGUCUGGAUAGAUUAUGCUGGGAAAAGAAGCCUGGAGCAGGCAGUACAGUGGGAGAACAAGGAGAGAAUGGAGUUGCAGCAGACUGCUCAGGAAUUGUACAUCACCAGUAGCUUCUGUCUCAGCUAAGUGUGGGAGACUGAUACUGAUGAGCCAUUAACAAUGGUGGAGAUUCUGAAUCACUGAAGCACUUGAUAAAAGAAAUGUCGUGGGUGAUGUGAAAAUCUACAUAUGCCCAUGAGAGUAUAUUGAGUUUGUAAGUGUUGUUGCUUAGUGUGUCACAGAGAAGUUUAUAAGAAACUAUUUUGGAGUAAGAAACAACACAGAAGAACACAGUUUCAGCCUGAAAUGGCUUAUUUAGCCACUGACCAUCAGAAACAAUUACUUUUUACCUUAACCUAGAUUUGUAAUAGCAGGAUGCAUUGAAUUCCUUCAUUGAAGUGAAACCUUAGCAAAUCUUUAAGUAGUACUCUAAAGUGACAAAAGGUGUUUACAUUUACUAAUGUAAAUUUCUUGUGGAGAUAAAGUUUUUAUUCUUCUUGGGUCUCAAGACUGCUCAAGAAGGAACCAUCGUUUGUUCUACACUGCUCUGUUCUAAAUGUUUGUUCCCCCAAUAUUCAUAUGUUGAAAUUCUAACCCCCAAGGAGAUAGUAUUAGGAGGUGGGGCCUUCGGGACAUGAUAAGGUCAUGAGGAUGAAGCCCUCAAGAAUAAGAUUCAUUGCCUUAUAAAGAAAAACCAGAAAGAUCCCUCAUUUCUUCAAUCAUAAGAAGACACAUGAGCAAGAAGACGGCCAGCUAUGAAGCAGGUCGUGGGCCCUCGCCAGACACUGAAUCUGCCAACACUUUGAUCUUGGAUUUCCUAGCCUGCAGAACUACAGAAGUGCUUGCCUUGGUGAUCCAAAAAAGGCAGGAUCCGGCCGGGGGCAAGGUGAUUAUUCUGUCUGAUGAGGAGAAUAAGAGCCAGUUUGUGGUAUUGACAGAAGAAUGAAAGUAAAGAUGUAUAAGGAGACCAUUUUAUUCUCAAGUAAUAAAGUUAAUGAAUCUGAUUUCAAAUAAUAUCUUUAAAAUGAAAAUGCUCAUAGAAGGAGUUAGGAAAGUUCAAUCAAAAUUGUCAAUAAGAGAAGAUUUCUACUUCUGAGAAGAUGGAGUAGACAUACAUCUACAAAACGGAUAGACCUUAAAAGAGAAAUAGACAAGACUACAAUUAUACUUCAAGGUUUCAACAUCCCUUUCUCAGCAACUGACAGAACUGAACAAAAAUUCAGCAAGGAUAUAGAAGAAUCAACAACACCAUCAAUCCACAGACUCAAAUGAACAUUUGUAGAAUACUGCCCCCCCAACAGCAGAUUACACAUUCUUUUCAAGCACUCAGGGAAUAUAUAUCAAUAUAGACUGUAUCCUAGGCAAUAAAACAAAAGACAACACAUUUAUAAUAAUUGAAAUUACAUAAAGUGUAUCCUCUGAUCACAAUGGAAUCAACCUGGAUACCAGCAGCAAAAA